CGGGACGUGGCGCAGCUUGGUAGCGCACCUGACUGGGGGUCAGGGGGUCGUGGGUUCAAAUCCCGCCGUCCCGA
This 74-nucleotide transfer RNA is filed under the name Streptomyces hainanensis. It matches the Rfam family "tRNA". From Rfam's summary of the family: Transfer RNA (tRNA) molecules are approximately 80 nucleotides in length. Their secondary structure includes four short double-helical elements and three loops (D, anti-codon, and T loops). RNAcentral also lists the same sequence under 3 other names. Lineage: Bacteria; Bacillati; Actinomycetota; Actinomycetes; Kitasatosporales; Streptomycetaceae. The record is from Rfam by way of RNAcentral.